Molecule: ribosomal RNA, 293 nt
Filed under: uncultured bacterium
Lineage: Bacteria
Description: partial 16S ribosomal RNA
Rfam family: Bacterial small subunit ribosomal RNA
Source: RNAcentral
CUAUCCUACGGGAGGCAGCAGUGGGGGAUAUUGGACAAUGGGGGGAACCCUGAUCCAGCGACGCCGCGUGAAGGAAGAAGUAUUUCGGUAUGUAAACUUCUCUCAGCAGGGAAGAAAAAGGACGGUACCUGACUAAGAAGCCCCGGCUAACUACGUGCCAGCAGCCGCGGUAAUACGUAGGGGGCGAGCGUUAUCCGGAUUUACUGGGUGUAAAGGGGGCGCAGACGGCCAUGGCAAGCCCGGUGUGAAAGGUGCGGGCACAACCCGCUGACUGCACUGGUAACUGCCUGGCU